GACGAACGCUGGCGGCGUGCUUAACACAUGCAAGUCGAACGGAAAGGCCCUGCUUUUGUGGGGUGCUCGAGUGGCGAACGGGUGAGUAACACGUGAGUAACCUGCCCUUGACUUUGGGGUAACUUCAGGGAACUGGGGCUAAUACCGGAUAGGAGCUCCUGCUGCAUGUUGGGGGUUGGAAAGUUUCGGCGGUUGGGGAUGGACUCGCGGCUUAUCAGCUUGUUGGUGGGGUAGUGGCUUACCAAGGCUUUGACGGGUAGCCGGCCUGAGAGGGUGACCGGCCACCUUGGGACUGAGAUACGGCCCAGACGGCUACGGGAGGCAGCAGGGGGGAACAUGGCACAAUGGGCGGAAGCCUGAUGCAGCAACGCCGCGUGCGGGAUGACGGCUUUCGGGUGGUAAACCGCUGUCGCCUGUGACGAAGCGGGAGUGACGGUAAUGGGUAAAGAAGCACCGGCUAACUACGUG
This 468-nucleotide ribosomal RNA is filed under the name uncultured bacterium. RNAcentral's name for it is "partial 16S ribosomal RNA". It matches the Rfam family "Bacterial small subunit ribosomal RNA", at positions 28 to 507 of the family's 1533-position model. The record is from RNAcentral.